Molecule: ribosomal RNA, 445 nt
Filed under: uncultured bacterium
Lineage: Bacteria
Description: partial 16S ribosomal RNA
Rfam family: Bacterial small subunit ribosomal RNA
Source: RNAcentral
GUGAGGAAUAUUGGUCAAUGGGCGCAAGCCUGAACCAGCCAUGCCGCGUGCAGGAAGACGGUCCUAUGGAUUGUAAACUGCUUUUAUUUGGGAAUAAACUCCGGUACGUGUACCGGCCUGAAGGUACCAAAUGAAUAAGCACCGGCUAACUCCGUGCCAGCAGCCGCGGUAAUACGGAGGGUGCAAGCAUUAUCCGGAAUCAUUGGGUUUAAAGGGUCCGCAGGCGGUCUUAUAAGUCAGUGGUGAAAGCCUACAGCUCAACUGUAGAACUGCCAUUGAUACUGUAGGACUUGAAUUCGAUCGAAGUGGGCGGAAUGUGACAUGUAGCGGUGAAAUGCUUAGAUAUGUCACAGAACACCGAUAGCGAAGGCAGCUCACUAGGUCUGGAUUGACGCUCAGGGACGAAAGCGUGGGGAGCAAACAGGAUUAGAUACCCUGGUAGUCC